Molecule: ribosomal RNA, 253 nt
Filed under: uncultured bacterium
Lineage: Bacteria
Description: partial 16S ribosomal RNA
Rfam family: Bacterial small subunit ribosomal RNA
Source: RNAcentral
UACGGAGGGGGCUAGCGUUGUUCGGAAUUACUGGGCGUAAAGCGCACGUAGGCGGAUCAGCAAGUUAGGGGUGAAAUCCCGGGGCUCAACCCCGGAACUGCCUUUAAAACUGUUGGUCUGGAGGUCGAGAGAGGUGAGUGGAAUUCCGAGUGUAGAGGUGAAAUUCGUAGAUAUUCGGAGGAACACCAGUGGCGAAGGCGGAUCUCUGGGCCAUUACUGACGCUGAGGAACGAAAGCCAGGGGAGCAAACGGG